AGAGUUUGAUCAUGGCUCAGAUUGAACGCUGGCGGAAUGCUUUACACAUGCAAGUCGAACGGCAGCACGGACUUCGGUCUGGUGGCGAGUGGCGAACGGGUGAGUAAUAUAUCGGAACGUAUCCAAUAAUGGGGGAUAACUAAUCGAAAGGUUGGCUAAUACCGCAUACGCCCUACGGGGGAAAGCUGGGGACCUUCGGGCCUGGCGUUAAUGGAGCGGCCGAUAUCUGAUUAGCUAGUUGGUGAGGUAAAGGCUCACCAAGGCGACGAUCAGUAGCUGGUCUGAGAGGACGACCAGCCACACUGGAACUGAGACACGGUCCAGACUCCUACGGGAGGCAGCAGUGGGGAAUUUUGGACAAUGGGCGAAAGCCUGAUCCAGCCAUUCCGCGUGAGUGAAGAAGGCCUUCGGGUUGUAAAGCUCUUUCGCAAGGGAAGAAAGAUUACUCUCUAACAUAGAGUGAUUAUGACGGUACCUUGAUAAGAAGCACCGGCUAACUACGUGCCAGCAGCCGCGGUAAUACGUAGGGUGCGAGCGUUAAUCGGAAUUACUGGGCGUAAAGCGUGCGCAGGCGGUUUUGUAAGUCAGAUGUGAAAUCCCCGAGCUCAACUUGGGAACUGCGUUUGAAACUACAAGACUAGAAUAUGUCAGAGGGGGGUAGAAUUCCACGUGUAGCAGUGAAAUGCGUAGAGAUGUGGAGGAAUACCAAUGGCGAAGGCAGCCCCCUGGGAUAAUAUUGACGCUCAUGCACGAAAGCGUGGGGAGCAAACAGGAUUAGAUACCCUGGUAGUCC
This 793-nucleotide ribosomal RNA is filed under the name uncultured bacterium. RNAcentral's name for it is "bacterial SSU rRNA". It matches the Rfam family "Bacterial small subunit ribosomal RNA", at positions 8 to 796 of the family's 1533-position model. The record is from RNAcentral.